CUUGUGCUGCUGUCAAGAGCUUCAAGCACAGCAGCAUUGGGGUCAGCUCUGGGGGCACCUUUCUCCCACCUCAUUACCGAGACUCUGUCUUUCUGUUUUCUCUCGGUUUUCAGCUCCUUGUGCUUCUGAGGAGGGUGAAGGACAAGAGGAGCCUCCUGGCUGAGAGCCCCAGCACCUCCCGGGGACAGUGGUGGUGGCUACUCCCCCUGCAUGAAAUCCUUGCAGGACUGGCUGCGUCUCAUGACAGUGUUGCUUUCUAUAGGGACUCAUUUGGGUUGCUUACAUCCUGUGCUGGAUUUAGAAGACCUACAGUGUUACCAUGGCAACAGUUUCUCCUUAAGUAUAGAAAUUAUCUGGAGAAGAAAAAGCAACGUGUGCCUGAGAGGGCACAGACACAAGGAGUGCUGCUCGCAGAUUCAUUGCAGGCGUUUCCUGAAUGCAAGGCUACUGCUAUACCACAGCAUCUGUCCUCCAGUCAGAGUAAGAGAAGAGGAACUCAUCUAAGUGUGAUGAAGGCUAUCUGAAGUUUGCCAGUCAGACAAAUGGGCAAGUUCCCUAAAGGAACCAAUUUGGAGUUUCUUAUUUACCUGUGACAUAAAUGUGGGACAGGAAAGAAACCCAUGAAUGGGGGUUUCAAGUAUCAUAGGAAUAUAUGCAACCUCUGAGUUCAGUCCCAUCUUGUUGAACACAUCUGCCAAGGGAGCCAGUCCCUAGGAACUGAAGCCAUGAAUGCUGACUCUGCCAAUACCGUAUCCUGUCUUGGCAAAAUGACAGAAAUUGCACGUGCUUGGACAUAGACCAAUUCCUCCUGGGAUGCCUCUAAAUGAAAAUGACUUCAUAUAUAUAAUUGAAAAGGAAGAUGGUGUGGAGCAAAAGAGAGAGCAGUGAACGAGGAUUCAGGUUACCUGGAGUUUAUGUUAAGCUCUCCCAUCCAUCUGGUGACUGAUGUGGGCCAACUCAGGAAUCUUGAUCUCUCUUUUCUGUUUCCAAGAUGGUGAUGAUGAUACUGGCCUCCUUCAACAAAGUCCCUUGAUACCUGCUUGCUGAAGAUGUGCAUUGUGUGAAAGUCAAAUAUUUCACCAGCUAUGCAGACAAAUGGUCAGCUCCUGCUGCAUUCGAUCCCUGCUCCAACUUGAAUUUAUUAAGUCAGAUAAAAAUACAUGACAGUAGAAGAUAAUUAGUUGCCUUCUGCAUGCAUAGAUACAUAGAUAAUCUGAAUCAGAUGGGAACAAAGAACAGAUGUUCUUUAAACAUAUGUGCAAACAAAAAAAUGCAAAUGUGAACGUUCAUAAGCAGUGAAUAUAACAGGAGAACUGAAUAACAUACGAUUUCAGGAUGUAAGCAACUAUUUUUGUGGAAUGGUUUG
Cygnus atratus (black swan) is the source of this 1366-nucleotide long non-coding RNA. RefSeq lists it as uncharacterized. Lineage: Eukaryota; Metazoa; Chordata; Aves; Anseriformes; Anatidae. The transcript is spliced from 5 exons. The record is from RefSeq and is a predicted model, not a curated record.